CGAACAAUUGGACCAUCGGUCUCCCGAACAAGUUCACGCGCUCGGUGGAAGAUCUUCCCUUGUGUCAG
This 68-nucleotide microRNA precursor is filed under the name Bombyx mori (domestic silkworm). RNAcentral describes it as "mir-2774 microRNA precursor family". It matches the Rfam family "mir-2774 microRNA precursor family". Lineage: Eukaryota; Metazoa; Arthropoda; Insecta; Lepidoptera; Bombycidae. The record is from Rfam by way of RNAcentral.